CCUAUGGGUCCCUAUGCAUCCCUAUGGGGUCUCUAUGGGUCUUUGUAAGGUCCCAAUGGGUCCCUAUCGGGUCUCUAUGGGUCCCUAUGGGUCCCUAUGGUCCCCGUGGUCCCUAUGGGGUCUCUAUGGGUCUCUUAUGGGUCUCUAUGGGUCCCUGUGUGUCCCUAUGAUCUCUAUGGGUCCCUAUGGUCCCUAUGGGGUCUCUCUGGGUCCCUAUGCAUCCCUAUGGGUCCCUAUGGUCCCUAUGGGGUCUCUCUGGGUCCCUGUGUGCCCCUAUGAUCUCUAUGGGUCCCUAUGGUCCUUAUGGGGUCUCUAUGGGUCCCUAUGGUCCCUAUGCAUCCCUAUGGGGUCUCUAUGGGUUUCUGUGAUGUCCCAAUGGGUCCCUAUGGGGUUUCUGUGGGUCCCUAUGGUCCCUAUGGUCCCUGUGGUCCCUAUGGGGUCUCUAUGGGUCUCUUAUGGGUCUCUAUGGGUCCCUGUGUGCCCCUAUGAUCUCUAUGGGUCUCUAUGGGUCCCUAUGCAUCCCUAUGGGGUCCCUAUGGGUCUCUAUGGGUCUCUAUGGGUCUCUACGGGUUCCUAUGCAUCCCUAUGGUCCCUAUGGUCCCUAUGGGGUUUCUGUGGGUCCCUAUGCAUCCCUAUGGUCCCCAUGGGGUCUCUCUGGGUCCCUGUGUGCCCCUAUGAUCUCUAUGGGUCCCUAUGAGUCCCUAUGGUCCCUUAUGGGGUCUCUAUGGGUCCCUAUGCAACCCUAUGUGGUUCCUAUGGGUCCCUAUGUGUCCCUCUGGUCCCUAUGGGGUCUCUGUGGGUCUCAGUGGUGUCCCAAUGGGUCCCUAUGUGUCCGUGUGUCCCACCGUGUCCGUGCGUCCCGCAGUCCCCCCGCAGUCGGUGUCCAUCUCGGUGUCCCCGCCGUCCCCCCGUCCCGGCACUUUGGUGGAGCUGAGCUGCAGCACCAGCAGCGCCCGCCCCGCCCCCACCCUGCACUGGGACGUCAGAGGAACCACGUGGGCAACAACGGGUCCCCACUGCGCCCCAUAGCGCCCCAUAGCGCCCCACUGCGCCCCACAGCGCCCCAUAGCGCCCCACUGCGCCCCUUUGUCCCCAUUGUGUCCCAUUGUGUCCCACUGCGCCCCAUUGUGCUCCAUUGUGUCCCAUUGUGCCCCAUUGUGCCUCCAUUGUCCCCAGUGUCCCAUAGUGUCCCAUAGUGCCCAUUGUGCCCCAUUGUCCCCACUGUGCCCCAUUGUGUCCCAUUGUGACCCAUUGUGCCCCAUUGCACCUCCAUUGUCUCCACUGUGCCCCAUAGCGCCCCACUGCGCCCCAUUGUGUCCCUUUGUCCCCAUUGUAUCCCAUUGUGUCCUAUUGUGUCCCCAUAGUGCCCCAUAGUGCCGCAUUGUGUCCCAUUGUGUCCCACUGUGUCCCAUAGUGCCCCAUUGCGUCCCAUUGCGUCCCUUUGUCCCCAUUCUAUCCCAUUGUGUGCCCUAUUGUGUCCUAUAGUGUCUCAUUGUGUCCCACUGUGCCCCAUCGUGCCCCGCUGUGCCCCAUUCUGUCCCAUUGUCCCCAUUGUAUCCCAUUGUGUGCCCUACUGUGUCCUAUAGUGCCCCAUUGUGCCCCACUGUGUCCCAUUGUGUCCCAUAGUGCCCCAUUGUGUCCCCACUGUGUCCCAUUGUGUCCCAUUGCGCCCCACCCUUGCCCCAUUGUGUCCCUCUGUCCCCCAUUGUGCCCCAUUGUGUCCCAUAGUGCCCCAUUGUGUCCCCAUUGUGCCCCAUUGUGUCCCACUGUGUCCCAUUGUGCUCCAUUGUGUCCCACUGUGUCCCAUUGUGUCCCAUUGUGUCCCAUUGUGCCCCCAUUGCACCCAUUGUGCCCCAUUGUGUCCCAUAGUGCCCCAUUGUGUCCCAUUGCGUCCCUUUGUCCCCAUUCUAUCCCAUUGUGUGCCCUAUUGUGUCCUAUAGUGUCCCAUUGUGUCCCCAUUGUGCCCCAUAGUGCCCCAUUGUGUCC
Molecule: long non-coding RNA, 1986 nt
Organism: Phasianus colchicus (ring-necked pheasant)
Lineage: Eukaryota; Metazoa; Chordata; Aves; Galliformes; Phasianidae
Source: Ensembl